This 252-nucleotide unclassified non-coding RNA is filed under the name air metagenome. Its description in RNAcentral is "partial contains small subunit ribosomal RNA, internal transcribed spacer 1, and 5.8S ribosomal RNA". The stretch from base 1 to 46 matches the Rfam family "Eukaryotic small subunit ribosomal RNA", at positions 1786 to 1831 of the family's 1831-position model. The record is from RNAcentral.
AAGUCGUAACAAGGUUUCCGUAGGUGAACCUGCGGAAGGAUCAUUAUCGAGUUCAAAGCGUCCUGAGCUGGCUUCGGCAAGUGCUCGGCGCCUCGUCCACUCAACCCCUGUGCACCUGAGAGGUGCGGUGCUGCGCCGUCAAGGCAAGGCUCGCGCCUCGACCCUUCACAAACUCUUAACAAGUCUAGUCGAAUGUAACCUCGCUUCGGCGAAAACACAAUACAACUUUCAACAACGGAUCUCUUGGCUCUC